UUAAUUGAAACCAAAAUUUAGGUAUAUCACUGUUAAUGAUAAUAUUGAGAAAUUCUUCUCCAAUUAAA
This 68-nucleotide transfer RNA is filed under the name Agelasta perplexa. RNAcentral's name for it is "tRNA-Asn". The record is from RNAcentral. Lineage: Eukaryota; Metazoa; Arthropoda; Insecta; Coleoptera; Cerambycidae.